GUAAUCGUGGCCCAGUGGUUAAGGCAAUGUACUUGAAAUCUAUUGGGGUUUUCCCGCACAGGUUUGACUCCUGUCGAUUACA
This is a non-coding RNA of Protopterus annectens (West African lungfish), 82 nucleotides long. Lineage: Eukaryota; Metazoa; Chordata; Ceratodontiformes; Protopteridae. The record is from the annotation of a RefSeq genome assembly.